This is a small nucleolar RNA of Arvicanthis niloticus (Nile rat), 205 nucleotides long. RefSeq annotates it as small nucleolar RNA SNORA73 family. The record is from RefSeq and is a predicted model, not a curated record. NCBI's taxonomy places the organism in Eukaryota, Metazoa, Chordata, Mammalia, Rodentia, Muridae.
CCAAAUACGCCAACCCCGGGAGGUCACUCUCCCCCGGCUCUGUCCUAGUGGUGUGUGGGAGCAUAGGGCGCCGCCCAAUGAUGUACAGUCCCUUUCCACAAUGUUGGAGAAGAAGCUGGGCUUUGAGUCUGCGUCUGCAUAUUCCUACAACUUCUCAGAGUCCUGUGGACGAUGACUGAGGAGACAAACCAUGCAGGAAACAGUC